UCCUGGUGUAGCGGUGGAAUGCGCAGAUAUCAGGAGGAACACCGAUGGCGAAGGCAGAUCUCUGGGCCGUAACUGACGCUGAGGAGCGAAAGGGUGGGGAGCAAACAGGCUUAGAUACCCUGGUAGUCCACCCCGUAAACGUUGGGAACUAGUUGUGGGGACCAUUCCACGGUUUCCGUGACGCAGCUAACGCAUUAAGUUCCCCGCCUGGGGAGUACGGCCGCAAGGCUAAAACUCAAAGGAAUUGACGGGGACCCGCACAAGCGGCGGAGCAUGCGGAUUAAUUCGAUGCAACGCGAAGAACCUUACCAAGGCUUGACAUACACCAGAACACCGUAGAAAUACGGGACUCUUUGGACACUGGUGAACAGGUGGUGCAUGGUUGUCGUCAGCUCGUGUCGUGAGAUGUUGGGUUAAGUCCCGCAACGAGCGCAACCCUCGUUCUAUGUUGCCAGCACGUAAUGGUGGGAACUCAUGGGAUACUGCCGGGGUCAACUCGGAGGAAGGUGGGGAUGACGUCAAAUCAUCAUGCCCCUUAUGUCUUGGGCUUCACGCAUGCUACAAUGGCCGGUACAAAGGGCUGCAAUACCGUAAGGUGGAGCGAAUCCCAAAAAGCCGGUCCCAGUUCGGAUUGAGGUCUGCAACUCGACCUCAUGAAGUCGGAGUCGCUAGUAAUCGCAGAUCAGCAACGCUGCGGUGAAUACGUUCCCGGGUCUUGUACACAC
This 725-nucleotide ribosomal RNA is filed under the name Microbacterium sp. RNAcentral describes it as "bacterial SSU rRNA". It matches the Rfam family "Bacterial small subunit ribosomal RNA", at positions 668 to 1390 of the family's 1533-position model. Lineage: Bacteria; Bacillati; Actinomycetota; Actinomycetes; Micrococcales; Microbacteriaceae. The record is from RNAcentral.